Molecule: ribosomal RNA, 443 nt
Filed under: uncultured bacterium
Lineage: Bacteria
Description: partial 16S ribosomal RNA
Rfam family: Bacterial small subunit ribosomal RNA
Source: RNAcentral
CCUACGGGUGGCAGCAGUGGGGGAUAUUGGACAAUGGGGGGAACCCUGAUCCAGCGAAGCCGCGUGAGUGAAGAAGUAUUUCGGUAUGUAAAGCUCUGUCAGCAGGGAAGAAAGCAAUGACGGUACCUGACCAAGAAGCCCCGGCUAACAACGUGCCAGCAGCCGCGGUAAUACGGAGGGGGCAAGCGUUAUCCGGAAUUACUGGGUGUAAAGGUAGCGUAGACGGCUGUGAAAGUCUGGAGUGAAAGGCCGGGGCCCAGCCCCCGGACUGCCCUGGAAACUGUAUGGCUGUAGUGCAGGAGAGGUAAGCGGAAUUCCUAGUGUAGCGGUGAAAUGCGUAGAUAUUACGAGGAACACCAGUGGCGAAGGCAGCUUACUGGACUGUAACUGACGUUGAGGCUCGAAAGCGUGGGGAGCAAACAGGAUUAGAUACCCGAGUAGUC